Paramuricea clavata is the source of this 241-nucleotide non-coding RNA. Lineage: Eukaryota; Metazoa; Cnidaria; Anthozoa; Malacalcyonacea; Plexauridae. The record is from the annotation of a GenBank genome assembly.
CGGGCUUAAGUUGUCGAAGUCUUUUUUAAUACUGCUGUUCUGGCAAGCAAGUUAAUUUUGGCUUGGAAAUAAGUAUGAAAGAAACAAAGUAUUUAAUAUCUUUACAACUUUUACCGUUUAUUCAUUUGUGUCGGCACUCAGACUUAUUUCCGAGUCAAAACUGAACUGAAGGUCAUCGGACAUAUGUCCGACCCAAACUCAAUGUCACCGGACAUUUUGUCAGACGGCCCUGUAAAAGAUA